RNAcentral lists this ribosomal RNA (253 nucleotides) under uncultured bacterium. RNAcentral describes it as "partial 16S ribosomal RNA". It matches the Rfam family "Bacterial small subunit ribosomal RNA", at positions 524 to 776 of the family's 1533-position model. The record is from RNAcentral.
UACGUAGGUGGCAAGCGUUGUCCGGAUUUACUGGGCGUAAAGAGCGCGCAGGCGGUCGUUCAAGUCGCGUGUGAAAGCCCCCGGCUCAACUGGGGAGGGUCACGCGAUACUGAUCGACUCGAAGGCAGGAGAGGGUAGUGGAAUUCCCGGUGUAGUGGUGAAAUGCGUAGAUAUCUGGAGGAACACCGGUGGCGAAGGCGGCGUCCUGGACCAACACUGACACUGAUGAGCGAAAGCCAGGGGAGCAAACAGG